RNAcentral lists this ribosomal RNA (496 nucleotides) under uncultured bacterium. RNAcentral's name for it is "partial 16S ribosomal RNA". It matches the Rfam family "Bacterial small subunit ribosomal RNA", at positions 28 to 507 of the family's 1533-position model. The record is from RNAcentral.
GAUGAACGCUGGCGGCGUGCCUAAUACAUGCAAGUCGAGCGAACAGACGAGGAGCUUGCUCCUCUGACGUUAGCGGCGGACGGGUGAGUAACACGUGGAUAACCUACCUAUAAGACUGGGAUAACUUCGGGAAACCGGAGCUAAUACCGGAUAAUAUAUUGAACCGCAUGGUUCAAUAGUGAAAGACGGUUUUGCUGUCACUUAUAGAUGGAUCCGCGCCGCAUUAGCUAGUUGGUAGGUAACGGCUUACCAAGGCGACGAUGCGUAGCCGACCUGAGAGGGUGAUCGGCCACACUGGAACUGAGACACGGUCCAGACUCCUACGGGAGGCAGCAGUAGGGAAUCUUCCGCAAUGGGCGAAAGCUUGACGGAGCAACGCCGCGUGAGUGAUGAAGGUCUUCGGAUCGUAAAACUCUGUUAUUAGGGAAGAACAAAUGUGUAAGUAACUAUGCACGUCUUGACGGUACCUAAUCAGAAAGCCACGGCUAACUACGUG